This 381-nucleotide ribosomal RNA is filed under the name bacterium CYB20. RNAcentral's name for it is "bacterial SSU rRNA". It matches the Rfam family "Bacterial small subunit ribosomal RNA", at positions 98 to 476 of the family's 1533-position model. The record is from RNAcentral.
GCGGACGGGUGAGUAAUGCCUAGGAAUCUGCCUGGUAGUGGGGGAUAACGUUCGGAAACGGACGCUAAUACCGCAUACGUCCUACGGGAGAAAGCAGGGGACCUUCGGGCCUUGCGCUAUCAGAUGAGCCUAGGUCGGAUUAGCUAGUUGGUGGGGUAAUGGCUCACCAAGGCGACGAUCCGUAACUGGUCUGAGAGGAUGAUCAGUCACACUGGAACUGAGACACGGUCCAGACUCCUACGGGAGGCAGCAGUGGGGAAUAUUGGACAAUGGGCGAAAGCCUGAUCCAGCCAUGCCGCGUGUGUGAAGAAGGUCUUCGGAUUGUAAAGCACUUUAGUUGGGAGGAAGGGCAGUUACCUAAUACGUAAUUGUUUUGACGUU